GUUCGAUCCUGGCCUGUGAUUGAACGCUGGCGGGAUGCUUUACACAUGCAAGUCGAACGGCAGCACGGACUCCGGUCUGGUGGCGAGUGGCGAACGGGUGAGUACUGAUCGAACGAACGUGCCUAGUAGCGGGGGAUAACUACGCGAGCGUAGUUAAUACCGCACAGCAUUCUCUGGGGAAAGCGGGGACCUUCGGGCCUCGCACCAUUAGAGCGGCCGACACGGAUUAGCUAGUUGGUGGGAACGGCUCAAAUAAAGACAUCCGCAGCUGGUCGAGAUAUCGCAAGAUCAGCCACACUGGGACUGGAGAUACGGCCUAGACUCCUACGGGAGGCAGCAGUGGGGAAUUCUUGGACAAUGGGGAAACCCUGAUCCAGCCAUCCUGCGUGCGAUGAAGGCCUUGAAGUUAGAAAAGACCUGGCAGGAAGAAACUUGGCACGGGAGCACACCGUGCAACUGACGGUACCUGCAGAAUAAGUGAAUGUAUAACUACGUGCCAGCAGCCGCGGUAAUACGUAUGCGUUAAUCGGAAUUUACUGGCGUAAAGUAUGCAGGUUCGGAAAGAAAGAUGAAAUCCCAGAGCUUAACUUUGGAACUGCAUUUUUAACUACCGAGCUAGAGUGUGUCAGAGGGAGGUGAAUCGCGUAGUAGUGAAAUGCGUAGAUAUAGUGGAGGAACACCGAUGGCGAAGGCAGCCUCCGGGAUAACACUGACGCUCAUGCACGAAAGCGUGGGGAGCAAACAGGAUUAGAUAAAUUUCUGGUAGUCCACGCUCAACGAUGUCAACUAGCUGUUGGGGCCUUCGGGCCGUAGCGCAGCCAACGCGUGAAGUUGACCGCCUGGGGAGUACGGUCGCAAGAUUAAAACUCAAAGGAAUUGACGGGGACUCGCACAAGCGGUGGAUGAUGUGGAUUAAUUCGAUGCAAACGCGAAAAACCUCAUUCCACUUUACAUGUUCCGAAUCCCGAAGAGAUUUGGGAGUGCUCGCAAGAGAACCGGAACACAGGUGCUGCAUGGCUGUCGUCAGCUCGUGUCGAGAUGUUGGGUUAAGUCCUGCAACGAGCGCAACUCCUUGUCAUUAUUAUACGAAAGGCACCGAAUGACCCGCCCGCUGACAAACCGGAGGAAGGUGGGGAUGACGUCGUAAGUCCUCGCGCCCCCAGGGUAGGGCUUCACACGUCAUAAGCAACGGUCGGGACAGAGGUGGUCGCCAACCCGCGAGGGGGAGCCAAUCCCAGAAACCCGAUCGUAGUCCGGAUCGCAGUCUGCAACUCGACUGCGUGAAGUCGGAAUCGCCAGUAACGGUGGAUCAGCAUGUCGCGGUGAAUACGUUCCGGGUCUUGUACACACCGCCCGUCACACCAUGGGAGUGGGACGGACGAAGUAGUUAGCCUAACUCGGGGUAAGGAGGGCGAUUACUGUAGGAUUCACGACUGGGGUGAAGUCGUAACAAGGUAA
This 1458-nucleotide ribosomal RNA is filed under the name uncultured Bordetella sp. Its description in RNAcentral is "partial 16S-23S ribosomal RNA intergenic spacer". It matches the Rfam family "Bacterial small subunit ribosomal RNA". The record is from RNAcentral. Lineage: Bacteria; Pseudomonadati; Pseudomonadota; Betaproteobacteria; Burkholderiales; Alcaligenaceae.